This is a long non-coding RNA of Episyrphus balteatus (marmalade hoverfly), 302 nucleotides long. RefSeq lists it as uncharacterized. The record is from RefSeq and is a predicted model, not a curated record. Lineage: Eukaryota; Metazoa; Arthropoda; Insecta; Diptera; Syrphidae. The transcript has 2 exons.
UCCUGUCACUCAAUUUUCAUUAUUCGCAAGAAAAACUCCACCCUGCUAUCUUUGCUGCUGGCUCUUAACAUUGCGAGCACUUUAAGAAAUUAAUAAAACGUAGCAAUGGUGGAGUGUUGUUGACUUCAAGAUGCCAUCAUGAUUACCAUUUAAAAAUUAGAUUCAAGAUAUCUCUCUUACUUAUAGUCCAACGAAUAAUCCACAAAAGUCUUCCGUGAAAAAAAAGAAGAAAUCAACGAAAAAUGUUUAAGACUUGUCGCGAGGAUAUAAAAACAGAAGGCGAAACCGAAGGAAAAUGUACA